This is a non-coding RNA of Pelobates cultripes (western spadefoot toad), 234 nucleotides long. The record is from the annotation of a GenBank genome assembly. Lineage: Eukaryota; Metazoa; Chordata; Amphibia; Anura; Pelobatidae.
UUUAUGACUGCAAUCAGAUAUUCUACCAGGUUUUCUCUUAUCAUAGGAUAACCAGAAAACAGAUGACCCAGAAGUGGAUAGGGGGAGAAACAUGCAUGGGGAUAAUAUAUACAGAUAAAUAAUAUAUAGGGGUUUCACCUGCACUUAUUCAUAACCAAAAGCUUUAGAAUAAAUGCUGUAUCAAUUUUAAAAUGCAGAUAACUUUGCAAGCGCUAGUCAAAUUAAUAUAUAAAC